UGUCACUUCCAGAAGGACGGGUCUAUUA
This 28-nucleotide non-coding RNA is filed under the name Rattus norvegicus (Norway rat). Lineage: Eukaryota; Metazoa; Chordata; Mammalia; Rodentia; Muridae. The record is from RNAcentral.